This 163-nucleotide ribosomal RNA is filed under the name uncultured bacterium. RNAcentral describes it as "partial 16S rRNA". It matches the Rfam family "Bacterial small subunit ribosomal RNA", at positions 355 to 511 of the family's 1533-position model. The record is from RNAcentral.
UAGGGAAUCUUCCACAAUGGGCGAAAGCCUGAUGGAGCAACGCCGCGUGUGUGAUGAAGGGUUUCGGCUCGUAAACACUGUUGUAAGAGAAGAAUGACAUUGAGAGUAACUGUUCAAUGUGUGACGGUAUCUUACCAGAGAGGAACGGCUAAAUACGUGCCAG